This 495-nucleotide ribosomal RNA is filed under the name uncultured bacterium. RNAcentral's name for it is "partial 16S ribosomal RNA". It matches the Rfam family "Bacterial small subunit ribosomal RNA", at positions 28 to 505 of the family's 1533-position model. The record is from RNAcentral.
GAUGAACGCUGGCGGCGUGCCUAAUACAUGCAAGUCGAGCGAACAGACGAGGAGCUUGCUCCUCUGACGUUAGCGGCGGACGGGUGAGUAACACGUGGAUAACCUACCUAUAAGACUGGGAUAACUUCGGGAAACCGGAGCUAAUACCGGAUAAUAUAUUGAACCGCAUGGUUCAAUAGUGAAAGACGGUUUUGCUGUCACUUAUAGAUGGAUCCGCGCCGCAUUAGCUAGUUGGUAAGGUAACGGCUUACCAAGGCAACGAUGCGUAGCCGACCUGAGAGGGUGCUCGGCCACCGUGAAACUGAGACGCGGCCCAGACUCCUAGGGGGGGCAGCAGUAGGGAAUCCUCCGCAAUGGGCGAAAGCCUGGCGGAGCAACGCCGCGUGAGUGAUGAAGGUCUUCGGAUCGUAAAACUCUGUUAUUAGGGAAGAACAAAUGUGUAAGUAACUAUGCACGUCUUGACGGUACCUAAUCAGAAAGCCACGGCAAACUACG